GACGAACGCUGGCGGCGUGCCUAAUACAUGCAAGUAGAACGCUGAAGAGAGGAGCUUACUCUUCUUGGAUGAGUUGCGCACGGGUGAGUAACGCGUAGGUAACCUGCCUUGUAGCGGGGGAUAACUAUUGGAAACGAUAGCUAAUACCGCAUAACAAUGGAUGACACAUGUCAUUUAUUUGAAAGGGGCAAUUGCUCCACUACAAGAUGGACCUGCGUUGUAUUAGCUAGUAGGUGAGGUAAUGGCUCACCUAGGCGACGAUACAUAGCCGACCUGAGAGGGUGAUCGGCCACACUGGGACUGAGACACGGCCCAGACUCCUACGGGAGGCAGCAGUAGGGAAUCUUCGGCAAUGGGGGCAACCCUGAACGAGCAACGCCGCGGGAGUGAAGAAGGGUUUCGGAUCGUAAAGCUCUGUUGUAAGUCAAGAAAGGGUGUGAGAGUGGAAAGUUCACACUGUGACGGUAGCUUACCAGAAAGGGACGGCUAACUACGUG
This 497-nucleotide ribosomal RNA is filed under the name uncultured bacterium. RNAcentral's name for it is "partial 16S ribosomal RNA". It matches the Rfam family "Bacterial small subunit ribosomal RNA", at positions 28 to 507 of the family's 1533-position model. The record is from RNAcentral.